Molecule: ribosomal RNA, 315 nt
Filed under: uncultured Rikenellaceae bacterium
Lineage: Bacteria; Pseudomonadati; Bacteroidota; Bacteroidia; Bacteroidales; Rikenellaceae
Description: bacterial SSU rRNA
Rfam family: Bacterial small subunit ribosomal RNA
Source: RNAcentral
GGUGUCGGGUUAAGUCCCAUAACCGAGCGCAACCCCUACUGCUAGUUGCCAGCGGGUCGAUGCCGGGGACUCUAGCGGAACUGCCAGCGUAAGCUGCGAGGAAGGUGGGGAUGACGUCAAAUCAGCACGGCCCUUACGUCCAGGGCUACACACGUGUUACAAUGGCCAGUACAGAGGGCAGCCACCCCGCGAGGGGGCGCUAAUCCUAAAAGCUGGUCCCAGUUCGGAUCGGAGUCUGCCAACCCGACUCCGUGAAGCUGGAUUCGCUAGUAAUCGCGCAUCAGCCACGGCGCGGUGAAUACGUUCCCGGGCCUU